CCUACGGGCGGCUGCAGUGGGGAAUAUUGGACAAUGGGGGCAACCCUGAUCCAGCCAUGCCGCGUGUGUGAAGAAGGCCCUCGGGUUGUAAAGCACUUUCAGUGAGGAAGAACGCCUGGUGGUUAAUACCCAUCAGGAAAGACAUCACUCACAGAAGAAGCACCGGCUAACUCCGUGCCAGCAGCCGCGGUAAUACGGAGGGUGCGAGUGUUAAUCGGAAUUACUGGGCGUAAAGCGCGCGUAGGUGGCUUGAUAAGCCGGUUGUGAAAGCCCCGGGCUCAACCUGGGAACGGCAUCCGGAACUGUCAAGCUAGAGUGCAGGAGAGGAAGGUAGAAUUCCCGGUGUAGCGGUGAAAUGCGUAGAGAUCGGGAGGAAUACCAGUGGCGAAGGCGGCCUUCUGGACUGACACUGACACUGAGGUGCGAAAGCGUGGGUAGCAAACAGGAUUAGAUACCCGUGUAGUC
Molecule: ribosomal RNA, 465 nt
Filed under: Vreelandella stevensii
Lineage: Bacteria; Pseudomonadati; Pseudomonadota; Gammaproteobacteria; Oceanospirillales; Halomonadaceae
Description: partial 16S ribosomal RNA
Rfam family: Bacterial small subunit ribosomal RNA
Source: RNAcentral